This 426-nucleotide ribosomal RNA is filed under the name uncultured bacterium. RNAcentral describes it as "bacterial SSU rRNA". It matches the Rfam family "Bacterial small subunit ribosomal RNA", at positions 354 to 796 of the family's 1533-position model. The record is from RNAcentral.
GUAGGGAAUAUUGCACAAUGGGCGCAAGCCUGAUGCAGCAACGCCGCGUGCACGAUGAAGGCCUUCGGGUUGUAAAGUGCUUUUCUGGAGGACGAGACAGGACGGUACUUCAGGAAUAAGGAUCGGCUAACUACGUGCCAGCAGCCGCGGUAACACGUAGGAUCCGAGCGUUAUCCGAAUUUACUGGGCGUAAAGCGCGUGUAGGCGGCAAGGUAAGUUGGACGUGAAAUCUCCUGGCUCAACUGGGAGGGGUCGUUCAAGACUGCCUGGCUAGAGGGCGGUAGAGGGAGGUGGAAUUCCCGGUGUAGUGGUGAAAUGCGUAGAUAUCGGGAGGAACACCAGUGGCGAAGGCGGCCUCCUGGGCCGCACCUGACGCUCAGACGCGAAAGCUAGGGGAGCGAACGGGAUUAGAAACCCGUGUAGUCC